Molecule: ribosomal RNA, 339 nt
Filed under: uncultured fungus
Lineage: Eukaryota; Fungi
Description: bacterial SSU rRNA
Rfam family: Eukaryotic small subunit ribosomal RNA
Source: RNAcentral
GGUUCAUUCAAAUUUCUGCCUAUCAACUUUCGAUGGUAGGAUAGAGGCUACCAUGGUUUCAACGGGUAACGGAGAAUUAGGGUUCGAUUCCGGAGAGGGAGCAUGAGAAACGGCUACCACAUCUAAGGAAGGCAGCAGGCGCGCAAAUUACCCAAUCCCGACCGGGGAGGUAGUGACAAUAAAUAACAAUCCAGGGCCUCUGGUCUUGGAAUUGGAAUGAGUACAAUUUAAAUCCCUUAACGAGGGACAAUUGGAGGGCAAGUCUGGUGCCAGCAGCCGCGGUAAUUCCAGCUCCAAUAGCGUAUUCGUGAGUUGCUGCGAUUAAAUCGUCCGUAGUUG